Molecule: ribosomal RNA, 243 nt
Filed under: uncultured bacterium
Lineage: Bacteria
Description: partial 16S ribosomal RNA
Rfam family: Bacterial small subunit ribosomal RNA
Source: RNAcentral
UUAGUGGCGGACGGGUGAGUAACGCGUGGGUAACCUGCCUUGUACUGGGGGACGAACGGUUGGAAACGACUGCUAAUACCGCAUAAGCGCCCAGCUUCGCAUGAAGCAGUGUGAAAAACUCCGGUGGUACAAGAUGGACCCGCGUCUGAUUAGCUGGUUGGUGAGGUAACGGCCCACCAAGGCGACGAUCAGUAGCCGGCCUGAGAGGGUGAACGGCCACAUUGGGACUGAGACACGGCCCAA